RNAcentral lists this unclassified non-coding RNA (344 nucleotides) under soil metagenome. RNAcentral's name for it is "partial contains 5.8S ribosomal RNA, internal transcribed spacer 2, and large subunit ribosomal RNA". The stretch from base 1 to 120 matches the Rfam family "5.8S ribosomal RNA", at positions 35 to 154 of the family's 154-position model. The record is from RNAcentral.
GAUGAAGAACGCAGCGAAAUGCGAUAAGUAAUGUGAAUUGCAGAAUUCAGUGAAUCAUCGAAUCUUUGAACGCACAUUGCGCCCGCCAGUAUUCUGGCGGGCAUGCCUGUUCGAGCGUCAUUUCCACCAUCAGGCCCCCGGGCCUGUGUUGGGGACCUGCGGCUGCCCGCAGGCCCCGAAAUUCAGUGGCGGUCGCGCCGUAGCAACCGAGCGUAGUAACUAAAACGUCUCGCUCUGGCUCGCUGGGCGCGCUCCGGCCGUAAAACACCCCCCCUUUUCGCAAAGGUUGACCUCGGAUCAGGUAGGAAUACCCGCUGAACUUAAGCAUAUCAAUAAGCGGAGGA